RNAcentral lists this non-coding RNA (169 nucleotides) under Fidelibacterota bacterium. Its description in RNAcentral is "6S RNA". It matches the Rfam family "6S / SsrS RNA". From Rfam's summary of the family: E. coli 6S RNA was the first non coding RNA to be sequenced, but its function was unknown until recently. It consists of 184 nucleotides that fold into an extended hairpin structure with a large single-stranded internal bulge. The record is from RNAcentral. Lineage: Bacteria; Pseudomonadati; Fidelibacterota.
UAUAUCCUGCAAUGGUGUGAUCGCAAUUUUAGAACCAACAUUUCUAAAAUGGGAGCUGGUCUUCGGACGUGGAAAGCAUGCCUCCUUGUCGAGGAAACUUGAGCCGUUCGAGAGGUGCCCACCGUGAUUGACACGGUUCUAAAAAACCUCCACCCGUUGCAGGAUAUUU